GAUGAACGCUGGCGGCGUGCCUAGUACAUGCAAGUCGAGCGAACAGAUGAGGAGCUUGCUCCUCUGACGUUAGCGGCGGACGGGUGAGUAACACGUGGAUAACCUACCUAUAAGACUGGGAUAACUUCGGGAAACCGGAGCUAAUACCGGAUAAUAUAUUGAACCGCAUGGUUCAAUAGUGAAAGACGGUUUUGCUGUCACUUAUAGAUGGAUCCGCGCCGCAUUAGCUAGUUGGUAAGGUAACGGCUUACCAAGGCAACGAUGCGUAGCCGACCUGAGAGGGUGAUCGGCCACACUGGAACUGAGACACGGUCCAGACUCCUACGGGAGGCAGCAGUAGGGAAUCUUCCGCAAUGGGCGAAAGCUUGACGGAGCAACGCCGCGUGAGUGAUGAAGGUCUUCGGAUCGUAAAACUCUGUUAUUAGGGAAGAACAAAUGUGUAAGUAACUAUGCACGUCUUGACGGUACCUAAUCAGAAAGCCACGGCUAACUACGUG
Molecule: ribosomal RNA, 497 nt
Filed under: uncultured bacterium
Lineage: Bacteria
Description: partial 16S ribosomal RNA
Rfam family: Bacterial small subunit ribosomal RNA
Source: RNAcentral